RNAcentral lists this long non-coding RNA (711 nucleotides) under Musa acuminata (dwarf banana). Its description in RNAcentral is "long non-coding RNA (MACU_LNC006128)". The record is from RNAcentral. Lineage: Eukaryota; Viridiplantae; Streptophyta; Magnoliopsida; Zingiberales; Musaceae.
GCCAGUUGUAGAGGUGUUAGCAGGUAAUUGUAUACCACCAUUAAAGGAAAUGCAACUCGAGGUCAAUAAGAUAUACUAAAUGCUAGGGAAGCGAUUAAUCAAAUGACAAUUCUCUUUAAGUACAAGAAGGUCCUCUGAGAUCUUUGUAAGAAAUUUACUAACUUGAAUGCUACAGGAUCACCAUCUCUCUAACUUCAUAGCAUGCAAAAUAAGCAAAGACAUUUUCAAUCUCUUUAUUUCAUAGUUCUGCUUCUGUCUUUUUAUCCACUGGAUUACCAUAACAACAUAAUCACUCCCCAAAAGAGAAGGUGGCACAAUCAACAAAAGCGUAGCAAGUCAUUUAAAGAGAGCUUGAGAGCAAAAAUAGUCCAAGCUAUAUCCGUAAUAUGAUAUGCAUAUUUCGAAAGAGACUGUCAAACUUGAAUGCUACAGGAUCACCAUCUCUCUAACUUCAUAGCAUGCAAAAUAAGCAAAGACAUUUUCAAUCUCUGUAUUUCAUAGUUCUGCUUCUGUCUUUUUAUCCACUGGAUUACCAUAACAACAUAAUCACUCCCCAAAAGAGAAGGUGGCACAAUCAACAAAAGCGUAGCAAGUCAUUUAAAGAGAGCUUGAGAGCAAAAAUAGUCCAAGCUAUAUCCGUAAUAUGAUAUGCAUAUUUCGAAAGAGACUGUCAAACCGAAACACAAGGAAGCUUACCCUGACUGUUUCUUC